RNAcentral lists this long non-coding RNA (1585 nucleotides) under Anneissia japonica. RNAcentral describes it as "uncharacterized LOC117115732". The record is from RNAcentral. Lineage: Eukaryota; Metazoa; Echinodermata; Crinoidea; Comatulida; Comatulidae.
CUAGACUUGUUUGGGUGUCUAGGCUGAUAUAUAUUCUCUGUAUAAUAUAAUAUUUUUUUGGAAUUUUAAGCGGGUCAUAUUUAACACACGAUUUUGAACGAAAUAAUCUGACUUCUCAAAGUGACGUUUGGUAUUUAACAGGAUCAUUAUAUGAAUUUUAGAACUUAAACAAGACACGUUCUCCUCACCGCGUAAACAGAGGGACAGAUGAGAAUACUAGGCCAGAACCAGUGGCAAAGAACGGACCAAAUCGACCAAAUUCGCGGUUGAGUGACGAGAGCUCCCACACAAGCUCCGGAAGAGGCUAUAUUUGUGAUGUAGAAAGUGAAGAAGAUACCAGGAUGUAUAGGAAAUUGACGUUGUACUUGACACUGCAGUUGUUUUCACGCAUCAUUACUGAUUUCCAUGAGGAACACUUAAUUAGCGCACUGAUUCGCAAACUCAAUUUCACGGUCGGACCCAAUUUCCUUUUACUCGUAACAUUCAACAGGCUUACUCGCACUCCUGCCAAUAUCAAUCUGGCGAGCUUCAGAUGAAGGUUCAAGAUGAGCCAGAAAGGAAAAUAGAAACACUGGGAAAAGAUACAUGGCGCGGUACAAACCUUGUUUGUUAACAACCGUUGGCAAAGAUCGUAAACGAUUAAGUUGGCCCGACCUUCAAGUGAUAAGACGAUUUAAUAUGUGUCAUCUCUCAAAAGAAACUAAAUUAGACAAGUUGAGUUGUGUGGUAAUUGGCAUUGACUUUGAACUUGGUUGCUAUAUUAUUUUAUACAUACAAUAAAGUGUUUAAUAUUAGCAGUUAGCACAUAUUUAACUUGAGGCCAACAGUAUUGCCAGAAACCUUGUCUGGGAAUUAACUAUUGAAACAGUCAAUGCUUAUCAUUGAAUAUUUGUUUAAUAUACUGUUUUCUUUUUUUUUUUAUGAUGACCUUACUAGGACAAUCCCUUCAAUGACACUUUACACUUUUCAACAUUGAGUUUCAAAGGAAAUUAUACAAUUUCAAACAAGUUUGUUGCCAGGAGAUUAUUUAAUGAAAUUGGUUUCCUUUUUUAUUGACCAGAUGAUAACCAUCGCUUGUUUUUCUUAUGAGCAGCAAAAAAGUAUGUAAUCAAUUUAUUUUCUUAGAUGAGAAAAACCUCAGGAAUUUCAUCCUAAAAUGUACUUUAUUUUUAAUUGAAUUUCUUGCAUAAAAAUUUCAAAACAUUUGGCAUUUUUCUGAAAUUAAUCAAACUUUAUUGUUUGAGAAAAGUGGUUGAGUGUGAAAGGGUUUAUUUUUAAAAUAUAAUGUCAAUUUACUACUUUCUAGAUAAUAAUAAUAUGAUAGUAAUAUGGCAUACUAUUUUCCAUUGUCUGGUUUGUUCCAUAAAAUUGGGUUACAAAGUUAAAGAUUAUUGUAGUCAGUUGUUACAGUCAGUUUAAAUCCAAUAAUCCAGCAUUGUGGAUUAAAACAAGAAACUUGACACAUAUUACUAUGGCUCAUUGUGAAUAGCAUAACCAUUUUUGUGUAUAGGUUUACCUCAACAGUGCCACCUAGUGGCCAGAAACAACAUAAUUUUCUUUACCCACAUCGUUGCUAUGAUAUUUG